Molecule: unclassified non-coding RNA, 244 nt
Filed under: Hevea brasiliensis (rubber tree)
Lineage: Eukaryota; Viridiplantae; Streptophyta; Magnoliopsida; Malpighiales; Euphorbiaceae
Source: RNAcentral
AAAAAAAAACGUUACACAAAUCUAAACCAAACAACAAACGUCUCUAUACAAUCAGCAAAAGGCAGAAUCUCCAUGAAAAGCUAUAGAGGAAGGAAAGGGUCAAAUGAAUUGGAGUAUACAAUCAAAUAACAUGACAGAGAACAAAAUUCACAGCUUUAUGGAGGUAAACAAUUCACCAAAGAAGUGAACAAUUCACAUGAACCACCCAAAUCAAGCGAGGAAUCCCACGUACAUUAUCUCAGAU